UUCCGAAGUGGCAGAGUGGUAACGCUGGCGACUUUGAUUCAUCAGGUCAUGGGUUCGAGGCCCACCACGGUCUAAG
Non-coding RNA from Halocaridina rubra (Hawaiian volcano shrimp), 76 nucleotides. The record is from the annotation of a GenBank genome assembly. Lineage: Eukaryota; Metazoa; Arthropoda; Malacostraca; Decapoda; Atyidae.